Molecule: ribosomal RNA, 506 nt
Filed under: uncultured bacterium
Lineage: Bacteria
Description: partial 16S ribosomal RNA
Rfam family: Bacterial small subunit ribosomal RNA
Source: RNAcentral
AUUGAACGCUGGCGGCAGGCCUAACACAUGCAAGUCGAACGGUAGCACAGAGGAGCUUGCUCCUCGGGUGACGAGUGGCGGACGGGUGAGUAAUGUCUGGGGAUCUGCCCGAUAGAGGGGGAUAACCACUGGAAACGGUGGCUAAUACCGCAUAACGUCGCAAGACCAAAGAGGGGGACCUUCGGGCCUCUCACUAUCGGAUGAACCCAGAUGGGAUUAGCUAGUAGGCGGGGUAACGGCCCACCUAGGCGACGAACCCUAGCUGGUCUGAGAGGAUGACCAGCCACACUGGACCUGAGACACGGUCCAGACUCCUACGGGAGGCAGCAGUGGGGAAUAUUGCACAAUGGGCGCAAGCCUGAUGCAGCCAUGCCGCGUGUAUGAAGAAGGCCUUCGGGUUGUAAAGUACUUUCAGCGGGGAGGAAGGCGAUGUGGUUAAUAACCGCAUUGAUUGACGUUACCCGCAGAAGAAGCACCGGCUAACUCCGUGCCAGCAGCCGCCGUAA